GUAUUGGGAUUGGAGUCAAGUUUAUAGUCAAGAAAGAUAAUAUAAUUUACACGUCUAUUAAUACAAUAUAAUACCAAACACAAUACUAUAAAAUACAAUCCAGAUGUCAAACAAGCCCUUAUUGAAUAUGUUUUUAUUUACUUGUUUACCAAACUAACCAAAGAUCAAUCGAUCACUAAUGAAAGUUAUAUAUUUAGAUAGUAUUUGUUUAAUCUUUUACUUUAUUUUCGGAACUCAAAUCGCUAGCUAAGUCAAUUAGUUUAUCACAAGUUAAUCUUGUCUUACUCUGUUCAUCUCCAUAGAUAUAACUCUGUUAUUAACAACAAAAGAUAAGUUAUAUAUAUAGGUCCAAACUGGUAUGAUUUCGUACUUUUAGUGUAUUUUUGUUUUUAAAUGAGUUGUAUACAAACAUAAGACAAUACUAUACAACCGUAUAUAACAAUCACCAUAUCCCAAAAGGUCAAACUCACUCACUCAUUAUUAUUAUUAUUAUUAUUAUAUAUGGUUGGGAUAUUAUUAAUAAAUUUAACACACAAAAAAAGAAUAAGUUCCCGUGACCCUUAGCUAGCCUAAUAGUGCCAAUUCUCAUUCACGGGUUUUCAAACUUGUGGUUUACAAUCUUUCCAAUCUCUCUCCUCCCUACACUACACAUAUAUAAAUACACUAACAUCAAAUUAAUUGAACAAUACUAUCAAAGGAGUAAGUUAAUAAUAAAGAAGAGAUAAUUUUUUAAGAUAUGGAGAUGAAAAUGGCAACAAUGGUGAUUAUGGCAAUAGUACUUAUUGUGUCAUCUAUGUUUGAAGUGUCUAGUGCUGCAGGCAUAUGCAACAUGAGUGAGGAUGGCCUCAACACUUGUCGACCGGCUGUCACCGCAUCUAACCCCGUUCCCCCUACCCAAACCUGUUGCGACGCUUUAAAAAGCGCCGAUUUACAGUGCUUCUGUGAUUACAAAAAUAGCAGCCCUUUCCUACUCAGUGCUUUUGGCAUCGAUCCUACUCUCGCCAUGCAACUACCCGCUAAAUGCAACAUUCCAUCUCCUCCUAACUGUUAAUAAGGUGUGUGAACAAGACUGUAGGCCUUAUGUACCGUACGUGGCUUGGUGUUGAAUUAUUAUUAUUAUCUCAUUUGGUUUUAUGAUAUGUAAUUUGAAUUGUAUUAAUUUCUAAUUGUGUGCGUGUGAGUGUGUGUUUGUAAUAUGUAAUAUUCUGCUUUACAUACAUAGAAAUGCCAAGAUUUCUACGUUGUAAUGUGUGAAAUGACUAUCUUAUCACUUAAUGAAAGUUAUCGUUUGUUAUGAAAUGCAA
Molecule: long non-coding RNA, 1304 nt
Organism: Cannabis sativa
Lineage: Eukaryota; Viridiplantae; Streptophyta; Magnoliopsida; Rosales; Cannabaceae
Exons: 2
Source: RefSeq, a predicted model, not a curated record